UACGAAUGGUGCGAGCGUUGUUCGGAAUCACUGGGCAUAAAGAGCACGUAGGCGGCGACAUAAGUCAUGUGUGAAAUCCCCCGGCUUAACCGAGGAACUGCAUUUGAUACUGUGUUGCUAGAGGGCGGGAGGGGAGAACGGAAUUCCUGGUGGAGCGGUGAAAUGCACAGAUAUCAGGAGGAACGCCGGAGGCGAAAGCGGUUCUCUGGCCCGCAACUGACGCUGAGGUGCGAAAGCUAGGGGAGCAAACAGGAUUAGAUACCCUGGUAGUCCUAGCCGUAAACGAUGGGCACUAAGUAGAGGGGCACCAAAGGCCUCUCUGCCGGAGCUAAUGUGUUAAGUGCCCCGCCUGGGGAGUAUGGUCGCAAGGCUG
Molecule: ribosomal RNA, 373 nt
Filed under: uncultured bacterium
Lineage: Bacteria
Description: bacterial SSU rRNA
Rfam family: Bacterial small subunit ribosomal RNA
Source: RNAcentral